GAGUUCGUACCUGAAAUUAAAUAAGGAUUACUUUGAUAGAGUAACAUUGAAGGUUAAAGUCCCUCCGACUCCUA
This 74-nucleotide transfer RNA is filed under the name Ophthalmolebias bokermanni. Its description in RNAcentral is "tRNA-Ile". The record is from RNAcentral. Lineage: Eukaryota; Metazoa; Chordata; Actinopteri; Cyprinodontiformes; Rivulidae.